UACGGAGGGUGCAAGCGUUGUCCGGAAUCAUUGGGCGUAAAGGGUUCGUAGGUGGAAUUAUAAGUCUGGUGUGAAAGCCCACAGCUCAACUGUGGAACUGCACUGGAUACUGUUUUUCUUGAGUUAUAGAGGGGUUUGUGGAAUUUCUGGUGUAGAGGUGAAAUUUGUAGAGAUCAGAAAGAACACCGGUGGCGAAGGCGACAAACUGGCUAUUAACUGACACUGAGGAACGAAAGCGUGGGGAGCGAACAGGAUUAGAAACCCUAGUAGUCC
This 273-nucleotide ribosomal RNA is filed under the name uncultured bacterium. RNAcentral describes it as "partial 16S ribosomal RNA". It matches the Rfam family "Bacterial small subunit ribosomal RNA", at positions 524 to 796 of the family's 1533-position model. The record is from RNAcentral.